RNAcentral lists this ribosomal RNA (389 nucleotides) under Biecheleria sp. RNAcentral describes it as "partial small subunit ribosomal RNA". It matches the Rfam family "Eukaryotic small subunit ribosomal RNA", at positions 582 to 975 of the family's 1831-position model. The record is from RNAcentral. Lineage: Eukaryota; Dinophyceae; Suessiales; Biecheleriaceae.
AUUCCAGCUCCAAUAGCGUAUAUUAAAGUUGUUGCGGUUAAAAAGCUCGUAGUUGGAUUUCUGCCGAGGAUGACCGGUCCGCCCUGUGGGUGUGCAUCUGGCUCAGCCUUGGCAUCUUCCUGAAGAACGUAGCUGCACUUGACUGUGUGGUGCGGUAUUUAGGACAUUUACUUUGAGGAAAUUAGAGUGUUUCAAGCAAGCGCACGCUUUGAAUACAUUAGCAUGGAAUAAUAAGAUAGGACCUCGGUUCUAUUUUGUUGGUUUCUAGAGCUGAGGUAAUGAUUAAUAGGGAUAGUCGGGGGCAUUCGUAUUCAAACGACAGAGGUGAAAUUCUUGGACCGUUUGAAGACGAACUAAGGCGAAAGUAUUUGCCAAGAAUGUUUUCAUUA